CUUCGGCAAGAGCUAAACAUGUAAGCAAUUUUUUUUUCCUACUUGUCUUUUUAUAUUGUUCUUUGUAUCAUAAUUAAUUCUUAAAUUUCAACUAAUUAUCAUUUUUUUUUUUUGAACUUGUUUUGCGUGUUGCUGCUGUGUGCUUAACUAGCAAGCCAAACUGGUACAGUAAUAUACUCUUUAUUUAGUGUUAAAAAUAAUAUGCCAUGAAUGAUUACUUACAAAUUUGCUUUUUGGUUUUUUCUAGGAAUGAUAUAUUAAAAAUGAGAGAUUGUCGGGGCAAAAAGUACAAUUCCCUGUUCAUCAAUUGUGGCGGUCCAAAGUUAAAUGUUGAUGGGAAUGAAUACGACGGAGAUCUUUCUAUAAAAAACUUUGCUAAAGGUCCAAAAGGAAAGUGGGCGUAUACAUGCUCUGGCGAUUUCUGGUCAACAACUAGCAAUUCAAGUGAUUACCAUAAAAACAUGACCUGUGGAGUUUCUGAGAAUUAUUUAUACAGAACAGGUCGUCUUUGCCCUGUUGCUUUGUCAUACUAUGCGUUCUGUUUACAAGAUGACCAGUACAAUGUCACGCUUCACUUUGCUGAAACUGUUUAUACAACGAAAGAAGAUUAUAGCAGCAACGGAAAACGAGUUUUCGAUGUGUAUAUUCAGGGGGAGAGACAGCGAAAGGAUUUUGACAUAAAGAGAUGGAGUGGGGUCCAAAUCAAGAACAGCCUGAAGUGUUUCCUUAUACAAAUGUGAAAGACAAUUUAUUGCAGAUACAUUUGUAUUGGGCUGGCAAAGGAUCUCUGAACAACCCACCUGCUCUUAAUGGACCACUUUUAUCAGCCAUUUCGGUGAUUCCAACUAAUCAUCCCAGCAAGAAAUUAUCGCCUGGGCAAAUAGCAGGAAUUACACUGGGCUCUGUUUUCACUCCCUUGCUUCUCUUGGCUUUCGUCUGGAAAAUGGGCUGGCUACGAAACAGGGAGUUGGAUGGUGAGAUUAUAUGUUACUUAAAAAAUCAUUUUGCAUGAUUUUACGAUCUUGCAUGGAGAAUUAUUGCCACAAAAGUGCAAGUUAUGAAUUAAUUUACUUUUUCCCCCUUUGAAUAGAAAUAAUAAAAAUAAAUGUUCAAGAAAAAGUUGUCACCGUCACCCUCAGGCAGGUCAUAAAUGCUACUGGAAAUUUUAACC
RNAcentral lists this unclassified non-coding RNA (1171 nucleotides) under Hevea brasiliensis (rubber tree). The record is from RNAcentral. Lineage: Eukaryota; Viridiplantae; Streptophyta; Magnoliopsida; Malpighiales; Euphorbiaceae.